GAUGAACGCUGGCGGCGUGCCUAAUACAUGCAAGUCAAGCGAACGGACGAGAAGCUUGCUUCUCUGAUGUUAGCGGCGGACGGGUGAGUAACACGUGGAUAACCUACCUAUAAGACUGGGAUAACUUCGGGAAACCGGAGCUAAUACCGGAUAAUAUUUUGAACCGCAUGGUUCAAAAGUGAAAGACGGUCUUGCUGUCACUUAUAGAUGGAUCCGCGCUGCAUUAGCUAGUUGGUAAGGUAACGGCUUACCAAGGCAACGAUGCAUAGCCGACCUGAGAGGGUGAUCGGCCACACUGGAACUGAGACACGGUCCAGACUCCUACGGGAGGCAGCAGUAGGGAAUCUUCCGCAAUGGGCGAAAGCCUGACGGAGCAACGCCGCGUGAGUGAUGAAGGUCUUCGGAUCGUAAAACUCUGUUAUUAGGGAAGAACAUAUGUGUAAGUAACUGCGCACAUCUUGACGGUACCUAAUCAGAAAGCCACGGCUAACUACGUG
RNAcentral lists this ribosomal RNA (497 nucleotides) under uncultured bacterium. RNAcentral describes it as "partial 16S ribosomal RNA". It matches the Rfam family "Bacterial small subunit ribosomal RNA", at positions 28 to 507 of the family's 1533-position model. The record is from RNAcentral.